Long non-coding RNA from Pygocentrus nattereri (red-bellied piranha), 809 nucleotides. RefSeq lists it as uncharacterized. The record is from RefSeq and is a predicted model, not a curated record. The transcript has 4 exons. Lineage: Eukaryota; Metazoa; Chordata; Actinopteri; Characiformes; Serrasalmidae.
GAAUGGGUUUGAUUACUUCAGAAAAUCAUCAACCAGCUUCUCAGACUGAACUUUGGAGUUAUCAAAUUAUGUCUCCACAUCAGUGGCUGGAUCUACUGAGUGAAUCUGAUGUCUGAUGGAGUCUGCUAAUAGGUGAUUGGUCUAUCCAGAGAGCCUGAUUUGCAUAGACCGACUGCAGUACAGUAAGGCAGGUCUGUGAGGAGGAGAGCCGGAAGUUUCACGGCUUAAUUGAUGCCUUUCCACGUAACCAUGACAACUCGAGGAGACAGGCCGUCACUAUGGAGAUCGGAACUGAUGUCAGAGUCUCUGUCACACAUGGCUUUAGUGAGGAGGGGGGCGUUUACUGACGGCAGUUUGGCCUCGCUCCAGUUGUUCUGGCCUGGGCUGCUUUUUGAAUACGUGCCAUCAGAACAAAAGCAGCUAGUUUUAGUCAAGAGAUAAAGGUGGUAAUGGACUGGCGACCUGUCCAGGGUGUAUCCUGCCUUCUGCCUGAUGACCACUGGGAUAGGCUCCAGCACCCCCCCUGCGACCCUGACGGAGAAGCGUCUUAGAAAAUGGAUGGAUGGAUGGAUGGAUGGACUUAUAUUAAAUAAUCACUGGACCUCGGGGGGGGUUGGGGUGGGAGGGUGGAAUAACCAGAAGUGUGGAGUCAUAUAACUUGGACUCGAAUCCAACUUUGAAGUUGCCAAAGCUGAUUUGUUAAUUGCAAGCUGUGCACUGGACUUUGUUGUUCUGCCUUAAAUGACACCCUUUUCGGUGCUAUAAACCAUUUUCAAAAAGGUUCUAUAUAGAACCAUCUACAGCACAUU